Molecule: ribosomal RNA, 439 nt
Filed under: uncultured bacterium
Lineage: Bacteria
Description: partial 16S ribosomal RNA
Rfam family: Bacterial small subunit ribosomal RNA
Source: RNAcentral
CUACGGGACGCUGCAGUGAGGAAUAUUGCACAAUGGGGGAAACCCUGAUGCAGCAACGCCGCGUGGAGGAUGACGCAUUUCGGUGUGUAAACUCCUUUUAUAUGUCAAGAAAAUGACGGUAGCAUAUGAAUAAGCACCGGCUAACUCCGUGCCAGCAGCCGCGGUAAUACGGAGGGUGCAAGCGUUACUCGGAAUCACUGGGCGUAAAGGACGCGUAGGCGGGUUGGAAAGUCAGGUGUGAAAUCCUACAGCUUAACUGUAGAACUGCACUUGAAACUUCUAAUCUAGGGUAUGGGAGGGGGAGAUGGAAUUAGUGGUGUAGGGGUAAAAUCCGUAGAUAUCACUAGGAAUACCUAAAGCGAAGGCGAUCUCCUGGAACAUUACUGACGCUAAGGCGUGAAAGCGUGGGGAGCAAACAGGAUUAGAUACCCGAGUAGUC